ACGUAUGGUGCAAGCGUUAUCCGGAUUUACUGGGUGUAAAGGGAGCGUAGGCGGUUUUAUAAGUCUGAUGUGAAAGCCCGGGGCUCAACCCCGGGACUGCAUUGGAAACUGUAGAACUAGAGUGUCGGAGGGGUAAGUGGAAUUCCUAGUGUAGCGGUGAAAUGCGUAGAUAUUAGGAGGAACACCAGUGGCGAAGGCGGCUUACUGGACGAUUACUGACGCUGAGGCUCGAAAGCGUGGGGAGCAAACAG
RNAcentral lists this ribosomal RNA (251 nucleotides) under uncultured bacterium. RNAcentral describes it as "partial 16S ribosomal RNA". It matches the Rfam family "Bacterial small subunit ribosomal RNA", at positions 525 to 775 of the family's 1533-position model. The record is from RNAcentral.